GAAAUGCGAUAAGUAAUGUGAAUUGCAGAAUUCAGUGAAUCAUCGAAUCUUUGAACGCACAUUGCGCCCGCCAGCACUCUGGCGGGCAUGCCUGUUCGAGCGUCAUUUCAACCCUCAGAACCCCUUGCGGGAUCUGGCGUUGGGCAUUGGCAUCCAGCCAGCCCCGAAAUCUAGUGGCGGUCCCUCCGCGACCUCCCCUGUGCAGUAGCGAUACCUCGCAGCGGGACAGCGGUCUGACCACGCCGUAAAACCCCCAACUUCUCAAGGUUGACCUCGAAUCAGGUAGGAAUACCCGCUGAACUUAAGC
RNAcentral lists this unclassified non-coding RNA (307 nucleotides) under plant metagenome. Its description in RNAcentral is "partial contains 5.8S ribosomal RNA, internal transcribed spacer 2, and large subunit ribosomal RNA". The stretch from base 1 to 105 matches the Rfam family "5.8S ribosomal RNA", at positions 50 to 154 of the family's 154-position model. The record is from RNAcentral.